Molecule: ribosomal RNA, 1761 nt
Filed under: Eulaeospira convexis
Lineage: Eukaryota; Metazoa; Annelida; Polychaeta; Sabellida; Serpulidae
Description: SSU rRNA
Rfam family: Eukaryotic small subunit ribosomal RNA
Source: RNAcentral
CUUGUCUCAAGAUUAAGCCAUGCAAGUGUUAGUACGUGCUUUAAUACAGUGAAACUGCGAAUGGCUCAUUAAAUCAUAUGUGAUUUCUUAGAUCGUGUUCGGUGUCUUCUUACGAAGUGCCUGACUGGAUAACUGUGGAAAAUCUAGAGCUAAUACAUGCAAUCAGGCCCCGACGGCGAGAGCUGGACGGGCGCUCUUAUUAGACCAGGACCAAACCGUGGCGGCAACGUCGCGGUGAAUCUGUGGUGACUCUGGAUAAACCUAGUUGAUCGCAAAGUAGCCGCAAGGCCAGCGACGUAUCUUUCAAGCGUAUGCCCUAUCAUGUAGUCGGUAAGGUAGAAGCCUACCGAGCAGAUAACGGGUAGCGGGGAAUCAGGGUUCGAUUCCGGAGAGGGGGCAUGAGAAAUGGCCACCACAUCCAAGGAAGGCAGCAGGCGCGCAAAUUACCCUUCCCGACACGGGGAGGUAGUGACGAAAAAUAACAAUACGGGACUCUUUCGAGGCCCCGUAAUUGGAAUGAGUUGAUUCUAAAUCCUUUAACGAGGAUCAAUUGGAGGGCAAGUCUGGUGCCAGCAGCCGCGGUAAUUCCAGCUCCAAUAGCGUAUAUUAAAGUUGCUGCAGUUAAAAAGCUCGUAGUUGGAUCUCGGGUGCUCUGUCUGGGCGGUUCCGCUUCCGCGGGUACUGCCCGGACCGCCCAACUAGUCGUCGGGCUUCGGCCCCUUUGCCGGGCUUGUGUCCUUAACCGGGUGCUUGCUUGGGACGACCGGUUUACCUUGAACAAAUUAAAGUGCUCAAGGCAGGUUACUUUUGCUCGGAUAUCUGUGCAUGGAAUAAUGGAAUAGGACUUGUGUGCCAUUCUGUUGGUCUCUGGUACGUGAGUAAUGAUUGAAAGGGACUGCCGGGGGCAUCGGUAUGGCGGGGUUAGAGGUGAAAUUCUUGGAUCCUCGCCAGACCAUCAAUAGCGAAAGCAUUUGCCAAGAAUGUCUUCAUUAAUCAAGAACGAAAGUCAGAGGAUCGAAGACGAUCAGAUACCGUCGUAGUUCUGACCAUAAACGAUGUCAGCUAGCGCCUCGCGGCAGUUGUAUCCCAUGACGCCAGCGAGGCCCCCCCGAGAAAUCGUAAGUUUUCGGAGUCCGGGGGAAGUAUGAUUGCAAAAUUGAAACUUAAAGAAAUUGACGGAAGGGCACCACCAGGUGUGGAGCCUGCGGCUUAAUUUGACUCAACACGGGAAAACUCACCCGGCCCGGACAUUGCAAGGAUUGACAGAUUGAAAGCUUUUUCUCGAUUCAGUGGAUGGUGGUGCAUGGCCGUUCUUAGUUGGUGGUGUGAAUUGUCUGGUUAAUUCCGAUAACGAACGAGACUCUGGCUUAUUAAAUAGUUCGCUCGUCGGCCUCCGUGUCGGCGGGUGUCAACUUCUUAGAAGGACAAGUGGCUCUUAGUCACACGAGAUUGAGCAAUAACAGGUCUGUGAUGCCCUUAGAUGUCCGGGGCUGCACGCGCGCUACACUGACGGGGGCAACGUGUCUCAUCUGCCUGGCCUGAAAGGGUCGGGCAAUCCGGUCAACCCCCGUCGUGCUUGGGAUCGGACAUUGUAACUGUCGUCCGUAAACGAGGAAUAUCUAGUAAGCGCAAGUCAUCAGCUUGUGUUGAUUACGUCCCUGCCCUUUGUACACACCGCCCGUCGCUACUACCGAUUGGAUGGCUUAGUGAGAUGUUCGGACGGGUAGGCGCCUUUUGCGGGGUGCCAGCNUGAAAGAGCCC